Felis catus (domestic cat) is the source of this 47-nucleotide regulatory RNA element. It matches the Rfam family "Histone 3' UTR stem-loop". From Rfam's summary of the family: The mRNAs of metazoan histone genes lack a poly-A tail. 3' end processing occurs at a site between a highly conserved stem-loop (modelled by this family) and a purine rich region around 20 nts downstream (the histone downstream element, or HDE). The stem-loop is bound by a 31 kDa stem-loop binding protein (SLBP - also termed the histone hairpin binding protein, or HBP). Lineage: Eukaryota; Metazoa; Chordata; Mammalia; Carnivora; Felidae. The record is from Rfam.
UCAAAGGCUCUUUUCAGAGCCACCCAACUAUUUCAAGUGGAAGAGCU